GACGUAGGGCGCGAGCGUUGUCCGGAUUUAUUGGGCGUAAAGAGCUCGUAGGCGGCCUGUUGCGUCCGCUGUGAAAGCCCGGGGCUUAACCCCGGGUCGGCAGUGGAUACGGGCAGGCUAGAGGUAGGUAGGGGAGAAUGGAAUUCCCGGUGUAGCGGUGAAAUGCGCAGAUAUCGGGAGGAACACCGGUGGCGAAGGCGGUUCUCUGGGCCUGUACUGACGCUGAGGAGCGAAAGCGUGGGGAGCGAACAGG
This 253-nucleotide ribosomal RNA is filed under the name uncultured bacterium. Its description in RNAcentral is "partial 16S ribosomal RNA". It matches the Rfam family "Bacterial small subunit ribosomal RNA", at positions 524 to 776 of the family's 1533-position model. The record is from RNAcentral.